RNAcentral lists this long non-coding RNA (1771 nucleotides) under Anas platyrhynchos platyrhynchos (common mallard). RNAcentral describes it as "lncRNA (ENSAPLG00000028357.1)". The record is from RNAcentral. Lineage: Eukaryota; Metazoa; Chordata; Aves; Anseriformes; Anatidae.
GCUCCUGGGGGGCUGCGCUGCUGCGGGAGGGGUGCGGGUGCGGGUGCAAAGGGCAGGGAGGGAGGGGGGACGCGGUGAUGCGAUGGGUUCCCAGGGAUGUGCCGCACGGGUUGGCUGCGUUCAAAGGCUGCCCAGAGCACCUCUUUAAAAUAAAUCGGAGGGAAAAGGCAGCCUGGUGCUCCUGCACGUGGGAUAGGAGGGAGCUUUGGGCGUCAGAGCCUUUUCGCCGCAUAUUUAGCCAUGAAAAUCCUCCAUUCUCCACCCUUUGCUGGCACACGCACGGGCUGGGCCCAUGCAGCCAGCCCUCAGCGCACAGCACCCACCCGCUGGGGCAUUCCCAGGGAGGUCACUGCCAGGCUCGCAGCCCGACCCUCCUUUGCUGGGAUGGGGAGAAAUCAAACCCCCCUUUCCUGAGCUGAGGGCCACCAGCAGGUAGCCAGGGCCAGAUUUAAGCUGUGCCCGCACCGAAGCGGCAAAAGGCAACGGCACAGAUGUGCAGCCCCCCAAGCAGGCACAUCAGGCUGCGGGAGAAAUGAGGCCACGAGCAACCAGCAGAUGGCUGGAGACCACAGGAAAGCACCGCUGCUGCUCUGCAGGUUUCCCUAGCACCUCCUUUAUCCAGAGACGUUCGGUUCCUCCUCCUUGCUACUGCACAGGGAGCUGUGGCUCCGGUUCGGGGACGGGAAGUGGAUGCUUUGCACCACCUCAUGUUGAACGUUGGAAUUUCACAGCCUCAUCCAAAUUUCUGCUCUCUCCCAUGCUGAGCAAACCGCAGGCCUCACCGGCUUGCCCCAGAACAGGCUCUUCUGGCUCCACAUCCACUUGCCCAACGCCUCUUCAGGAACUGGUGACGGUGUUGGGUGCUUCUUUAAGGCUUCAUUGUUCAGCAUCCUCCUGCAGAAGCACCCGCAGCAGGGCUGAGCUGUCCCCGCAGCACGCGAAACGCUGCUGGAGAGCACGGCGAACCGGUGAGCAGCCCCAUCCUUCUGCCUCUCCUGCGAGCCCAGGAGGGGAAGCUCUCACCUGGAGAGAGUUUGGAGUCAUGGUUUGAUAGGCAAGGAACGUCUCACUGGGUUUUAAGCCAUCUUCUGAGCAUCUCCAAUUUUUGAGGGGUGCGUUUGUGUCCUCACACCGCCCCAUGGAGCUCUGCGGAGAGUCCUCCUCUCUCCUGUCCAGGAAGGGCUCUGCAGGAGGAAGGUGAGGUGUUGCAGGGGAGACCCCAGGCUGUUCUCCCAGCAAGAGGGCUGGACUCGUCCCCAGGUCUGCUUCCUUCUCCUCCUCCCCCGAUUCAGCCACCCUCCCUCGCUCCCCAAAGGAUGGGACAAGGCACGUCAGACACCCGUCCGCUGGGAGCCAGCACGGGAGGAGACGUGCAGCUGGAGCUGGAAACCCUGCAACAACACCUGCAAGCGCUGCUCCUCGUUUCUGAAGCUCCUGGGUGUCUCAGGACCCUCCCCUUGCAGCAAGAAGCCCCAGUCCUUCGCCAUUCCCAGACGGGGCGGGUGCGUUGCACAACGCAGCCCAGCCAGGGUGGCCAGCAGAGCCCACGUGCUGCCCUCUGUGCUUGCCGAGGAACCUGAAGCAACACCUCCUGGUGGAAUAGGUUUUUAAAGGCCCCAGGGGGACUGCAGCAGCUGGGACCCCCCCACACACACCAAAACAAAGCGCGAGUUCACGAGUUCCCCAGUCUGUAUUUCUUGUUUCACCACGCCUUCGCUUCCCCCACAGUGCCUCCAGGGUGAAACUACUCAGCUGGCUGAAUGGGUUCGGC